Molecule: transfer RNA, 65 nt
Filed under: Bruchus sp. EMHAU-15071302
Lineage: Eukaryota; Metazoa; Arthropoda; Insecta; Coleoptera; Chrysomelidae
Description: tRNA-Leu
Rfam family: tRNA
About the family: Transfer RNA (tRNA) molecules are approximately 80 nucleotides in length. Their secondary structure includes four short double-helical elements and three loops (D, anti-codon, and T loops). Further hydrogen bonds mediate the characteristic L-shaped molecular structure. tRNAs have two regions of fundamental functional importance: the anti-codon, which is responsible for specific mRNA codon recognition, and the 3' end, to which the tRNAs corresponding amino acid is attached (by aminoacyl-tRNA synthetases). tRNAs cope with the degeneracy of the genetic code in two manners: having more than one tRNA (with a specific anti-codon) for a particular amino acid; and 'wobble' base-pairing, i.e. permitting non-standard base-pairing at the 3rd anti-codon position.
Source: RNAcentral
GUUAUUUUGGCAGAAUAGUGCAAUAGAUUUAGAAUCUUUAAAUGUAAUUUGUAUUACAGAUAACA